ACUCCUACGGGAGGCAGCAGUGGGAAUAUUGCACAAUGGGGGAAACCCUGAUGCAGCCAUGCCGCGUGUGUGAAGAAGGCCUUCGGGUUGUAAAGCACUUUCAGUAGGGAGGAAGGUAGUGUAGUUAACACCUGCAUUAUUUGACGUUACCUACAGAAGAAGCACCGGCUAACUCCGUGCCAGCAGCCGCGGUAAUACGGAGGGUGCGAGCGUUAAUCGGAAUUAUUGGGUUUAAAGGGUCCGUAGGCGGGCCGGUAAGUCAGGGGUGAAAGUCUGUAGCUCAACUAUAGAACUGCCUUUGAUACUGCCGGUCUUGAGUCACGGUGAAGUUGCCGGAAUAUGUGGUGUAGCGGUGAAAUGCAUAGAUAUCACAUAGAACACCGAUUGCGAAGGCAGGUGACUAACCGUGUACUGACGCUGAUGGACGAAAGCGUGGGGGAGCGAACAGGAUUAGAUACCCUGGUAGGCUCUGCU
RNAcentral lists this ribosomal RNA (474 nucleotides) under uncultured bacterium. RNAcentral's name for it is "bacterial SSU rRNA". It matches the Rfam family "Bacterial small subunit ribosomal RNA", at positions 335 to 801 of the family's 1533-position model. The record is from RNAcentral.